CUGGAAUGAAUGAGUGUUUCUAAGCAUAUUCAAGAAGUGAUACAAGAUUCAAGCAAUGGUUUACACAAAUUAAAAAAGUUCCUUUGAAAAUAUUAUUUUCCAUUUGUAUGUUUUUCAGACUACACAAACAAACACUCAAACACAGAGUUGUUCUAGUGGGCGGGGGGCCAGAGAGAGAAAGAACGAAAUCGAGAGAGAGAAUUUACACUUCUGAGUUGAUUUUCAAACCUCAACUUGAAUACACUUUGAAAAGUUAGAUACAAAAGAUCCUUGAUUGCUAAUAUAAACAGUCAAGUAGAGUAAUCCAUUGAGGUAGAUACAUACAGCAGCACUUAAAUGCUGAUUGAAAAAUACUCUAAAAUAUGUUUUUGGCUAAGAGUACUUAUGCCAAUUAAGAAGCAUAGAGAUACAUAUCCUCAUAAUAUAAAGCUUCCCUCUUUGUUGCUGCACGAUUCUCCUCCACUUGGCAUAUCUUCUACCACCCAUGAUUUUCUUCAGUAGUACUCUCCAAUUGCAUAACAUGUGUUUCUCCGUUGCUACUACAAACUGGCAUGCCACACAAUUUAUGGAAGGUUAAAAUCCGAUGUGGCAAGAGGGAAUAUCCGAAUUAGAUUCACAUUUAGAAUUGCAAUGCCUCAUCCAAUGUUAAGACUCCACCUAUGCUUGAGUUGGACACCAAUACACGUGCUUCCAAAUUUCAGCACAAAUGCAUAUAAUAUAGCUUUUUUAGUUUAAUAAUGCCGGCCAUUGGUGAUUUGUCGUUUCUAUGAAAAAGAUUAGCAAAUUCAAAAACACCACUACCCUUAUCUUAAACAGUGACUAACCUCAUCACAUCAUA
RNAcentral lists this long non-coding RNA (838 nucleotides) under Glycine max (soybean). RNAcentral describes it as "long non-coding RNA (GMAX_LNC002964)". Lineage: Eukaryota; Viridiplantae; Streptophyta; Magnoliopsida; Fabales; Fabaceae. The record is from RNAcentral.